CCUACGGGAGGCAGCAGUGAGGAAUAUUGGUCAAUGGGCGGGAGCCUGAACCAGCCAAGCCGCGUGAGGGAAGAAGGUACAGCGUAUCGUAAACCUCUUUUGUCAGGGAACAAAGGCGGGGACUAGUCCCCGGAUGAGGGUACCUGAAGAAAAAGCAUCGGCUAACUCCGUGCCAGCAGCCGCGGUAAUACGGAGGAUUCAAGCGUUAUCCGGAUUUAUUGGGUUUAAAGGGUGCGUAGGCGGUCGGAUAAGUUAGAGGUGAAAUCCCGAGGCUCAACUUCGGAAUUGCCUCUGAGACUGUUCGGCUAGAGAGUAGUUGCGGUAGGCGGAAUGUAUGGUGUAGCGGUGAAAUGCUUAGAGAUCAAGAGGAAUACUCAUUGCGAAGGCGACCUGCUGGAACAUUACUGACGCUGAUGCACGAAAGCGUGGGGAGCAAACAGGAUUAGAUACCCUGGUAGUC
This 460-nucleotide ribosomal RNA is filed under the name uncultured bacterium. RNAcentral describes it as "partial 16S ribosomal RNA". It matches the Rfam family "Bacterial small subunit ribosomal RNA", at positions 338 to 795 of the family's 1533-position model. The record is from RNAcentral.